AUUGAACGCUGGCGGCAUGCUUUACACAUGCAAGUCGAACGGACUUAGGGGCUUGCUCCUAGGUUAGUGGCGAACGGGUGAGUAAUGCAUCGGAACGUACCGUGUAGUGGGGGAUAACGCAGCGAAAGUUGUGCUAAUACCGCAUACGAUCUACGGAUGAAAGCAGGGGAUCGCAAGACCUUGUGCUAUACGAGCGGCCGAUGUCGGAUUAGCUAGUUGGUGAGGUAAAGGCUCACCAAGGCGACGAUCCGUAGCGGGUCUGAGAGGAUGAUCCGCCACACUGGGACUGAGACACGGCCCAGACUCCUACGGGAGGCAGCAGUAGGGAAUAUUGGACAAUGGGGGCAACCCUGAUCCAGCCAUGCCGCGUGAGUGAAGAAGGCCCUCGGGUUGUAAAGCUCUUUUGUCCGGAAAGAAAGCAAUCGGUUAAUACCCGGUUGUCCUGACGGUACCGGAAGAAUAGCACCGGCUAACUUCGUGCCAGCAGCCGCGGUAAGGU
RNAcentral lists this ribosomal RNA (499 nucleotides) under uncultured bacterium. RNAcentral's name for it is "bacterial SSU rRNA". It matches the Rfam family "Bacterial small subunit ribosomal RNA", at positions 30 to 526 of the family's 1533-position model. The record is from RNAcentral.